RNAcentral lists this ribosomal RNA (253 nucleotides) under uncultured bacterium. RNAcentral's name for it is "partial 16S ribosomal RNA". It matches the Rfam family "Bacterial small subunit ribosomal RNA", at positions 524 to 776 of the family's 1533-position model. The record is from RNAcentral.
UACGAAGGGGGCUAGCGUUGCUCGGAUUGACUGGGCGUAAAGGGCGCGUAGGCGGUUCGUACAGUCAGACGUGAAAUUCCUGGGCUCAACCUGGGGGCUGCGUUUGAUACGUGCGGGCUUGAGUGCGGAAGAGGGUCGUGGAAUUCCCAGUGUAGAGGUGAAAUUCGUAGAUAUUCGGAAGAACACCAGUGGCGAAGGCGACUCACUGGACACAUAUUGACGCUGAGGUGCGAAAGCGUGGGGAGCAAACAGG